Molecule: ribosomal RNA, 506 nt
Filed under: uncultured bacterium
Lineage: Bacteria
Description: partial 16S ribosomal RNA
Rfam family: Bacterial small subunit ribosomal RNA
Source: RNAcentral
AGUGAACGCUGGCGGUAGGCCUAACACAUGCAAGUCGAACGGCAGCACAGGAGAGCUUGCUCUCUGGGUGGCGAGUGGCGGACGGGUGAGGAAUACAUCGGAAUCUACUUUUUCGUGGGGGAUAACGUAGGGAAACUUACGCUAAUACCGCAUACGACCUACGGGUGAAAGUAGGGGACCUUCGGGCCUCGCGCGAUUGAAUGAGCCGAUGUCGGAUUAGCUAGUUGGCGGGGUAAAGGCCCACCAAGGCGACGAUCCGUAGCUGGUCUGAGAGGAUGAUCAGCCACACUGGAACUGAGACACGGUCCAGACUCCUACGGGAGGCAGCAGUGGGGACUAUUGGACAAUGGGCGCAAGCCUGAUCCAGCCAUACCGCGUGGGUGAAGAAGGCCUUCGGGUUGUAAAGCCCUUUUGUUGGGAAAGAAAUCCAGCUGGCUAAUACCCGGUUGGGAUGACGGUACCCAAAGAAUAAGCACCGGCUAACUUCGUGCCAGCAGCCGCCGUAA